GAUGAACGCUGGCGGCGUGCCUAAUACAUGCAAGUCGAGCGAACGGACGAGAAGCUUGCUUCUCUGAUGUUAGCGGCGGACGGGUGAGUAACACGUGGAUAACCUACCUAUAAGACUGGGAUAACUUCGGGAAACCGGAGCUAAUACCGGAUGAUAUUUUGAACCGCAUGGUUCAAAAGUGAAAGACGGUCUUGCUGGCACUUAUAGAUGGAUCCGCGCUGCAUUAGCUAGUUGGUAAGGUAACGGCUUACCAAGGCAACGAUGCAUAGCCGACCUGAGAGGGUGAUCGGCCACACUGGAACUGAGACACGGUCCAGACUCCUACGGGAGGCAGCAGUAGGGAAUCUUCCGCAAUGGGCGAAAGCCUGACGGAGCAACGCCGCGUGAGUGAUGAAGGUCUUCGGAUCGUAAAACUCUGUUAUUAGGGAAGAACAUAUGUGUAAGUAACUGUGCACAUCUUGACGGUACCUAAUCAGAAAGCCACGGCUAACUACGUG
This 497-nucleotide ribosomal RNA is filed under the name uncultured bacterium. RNAcentral's name for it is "partial 16S ribosomal RNA". It matches the Rfam family "Bacterial small subunit ribosomal RNA", at positions 28 to 507 of the family's 1533-position model. The record is from RNAcentral.